AUUGAACGCUGGCGGCAUGCCUAACACAUGCAAGUCGAGCGGAUGAAGGGAUCUUUGCCCUUGGUUCAGCGUCGGACGGGUGAGUAAUGCAUAUGGAUCUGCGUGCUAUUGUGGGAUAACGUCCGGAAACGGCCGCUAAUACCGCACACAUGCUGAGGGGGUGAGUGCGGGGGCUUUUGACCCCACGCUAUCUGAUGUUCCUAGGUCGGAUUAGCUAGUUGGUGGGGUAAAGGCCUACCAAGGCGACGAUCCGUAACUGGUCUGAGAGGAUGAUCAGUCACACUGGAACUGAGACACGGUCCAGACUCCUACGGGAGGCAGCAGUGGGGAAUAUUGGACAAUGGGCGAAAGCCUGAUCCAGCCAUGCCGCGUGUGUGAAGAAGGUCUUCGGAUUGUAAAGCACUUUAAGUUGGGAGGAAGGGCAGUAAGUUAAUACAUUGCUGUUUUGACGUUACCAAAAGAAUAAGCACCGGCUAACUUCGUG
This 484-nucleotide ribosomal RNA is filed under the name uncultured bacterium. Its description in RNAcentral is "partial 16S ribosomal RNA". It matches the Rfam family "Bacterial small subunit ribosomal RNA", at positions 30 to 507 of the family's 1533-position model. The record is from RNAcentral.